UCCUCCUACAAAGGCACGUCUGUGGCUCCCUGUCCUUGGACCUGUAAGAACUGGAGGCAAAGAAUCAGAGAAGUCAGGAGCCCGUUUGCUCCCGCAGGCUCAAGGUCAUCCUGCCCACACAG
RNAcentral lists this small nucleolar RNA (122 nucleotides) under Dasypus novemcinctus (nine-banded armadillo). RNAcentral's name for it is "Small nucleolar RNA SNORA38 (ENSDNOG00000027710.1)". It matches the Rfam family "Small nucleolar RNA SNORA38". From Rfam's summary of the family: ACA38 is a member of the H/ACA class of snoRNA that guide the sites of modification of uridines to pseudouridines. Lineage: Eukaryota; Metazoa; Chordata; Mammalia; Cingulata; Dasypodidae. The record is from RNAcentral.